AUAGGAGCUAUUUUAAUAAUUUAAUGGGGGCUAAUUAGAAACUCAAGAUGUUUAUAUGGUCAAAUUGUAUCUAUGCUUAAGUAGCUUGUAUUUUACAAGUUGUGAAUGUCUGCACCUAAUAAAAACCAUAUGUAGUAAUACACUCACAAGCAUAUAGCAAAAAUGAGUAAUUUGAGCUUAUAAAUUGGAUAUGUCUCUAUAUCAAAUAAGUUAGUCCUUUACUAUCAAUAUUAGACAAUUACAUAUCGUAGGCUUAGCACCCCCAAUAAGUGGUAUCAAAACCAAUUAACCAUAGAAGCGAACAAAAUGACAUCCGAGCUCAACAGUGAUUUCAUGCUAAGGGAAAAGUUGUUAUGUUCUUAUAGUAGCUAGUAAACAUGGGUUACAUGGGCUAUAAAUAGGAUAAAUUUCUUUACCUUAUAGACUAUUAGCCCCUAAGAAUUAUUUUGUUGAUAUUGCUCAAAAUUAAACAACGUUAUAUUGCUAUAUAUAAAACAGAUUGCAUUACUUAAAAUAUGCAUCUUGUAAAGCUCGUAUCUAAAAUUUUGAUAUCAAUAAUUAGUGUUCAUUGUCAGCGUUAUACAACAUAUUACUUGAACCGGUAUUUUAGCAAAUACGUACUAUAAUUAUUUGUGAUAUCAAUAGUUACUGUUUGUUGUCGAAGUUACAAAGCAAUUCAUAUUUACUUAAAUCCGAGUUUUUAAAUAUUUGUACCUAAAUUACUUUUUUUUUGUCUUAACCACGAUAUAUUCUGGGGAGGGCCUCAACUAUGAGAGGCAUCUUUAAACCCGUAUCAUAACUCAUACUGGAAGUUCCCGCUCGAACCGGGAGGCACAUGUUUUCCCAACUCGUACCUAAAUUACUUUUAUAUCAAUAGUUAGUGAUUGAAAAAAUGAAUUCUUGAACUAAGGCCAGAGAUAAUUGUCUAAAGAUUUAAUACAACAAUUUUUGUAAACAUCCAUAAUUCAAGUCCUCAUUUCACAAGAUAACGACUUUGUCCCUCGAAAAAUUUUCUAUAUAUUUUAUAUAGGUUAACAUGAGAGACUUCAAAAAGUUAAGAGUCAGAUUCCAUUGCAUUUAUUUAAUUUCUUUUUUUCUGUAGUUGACCCAAAUUUUAUACACCAUUGACUAGCCAGUGUAGGCUGCGUAGCAAUGUUAAAGCAAACGAAUAGAAGAAUUAAUCUGAUUGAUGAUUGGCUAUCUGCAAAGUGUCCACGUUUAUAAAAAAAAUUAAAAUAUUUGCAAUGAGCAAUCUGUCAAAACAAAGUUAAACUGGCGGCAAUCAAUUGAAUAUAUAAACUUUUAUUAUUAUUAU
Molecule: long non-coding RNA, 1315 nt
Filed under: Citrus x clementina
Lineage: Eukaryota; Viridiplantae; Streptophyta; Magnoliopsida; Sapindales; Rutaceae
Description: Citrus clementina (C. clementina) long non-coding RNA (CCLE_LNC006417)
Source: RNAcentral